CGAACCUCUACGAUUAACGACUUUGUUAAUUGUUUGCUCGUUUCACGUUGCCGUUUUGUUAAGUGUCCUCUGAUGAGGCCAAUUACUAUCAAAUCUCUAAAGAAUUUCUUUACGGUUGUUUACUAAAUUCUGAUACAGUUUGAUUAGGGAUUUUAAUUGAGUUUAUUGAUCGAACUCCAGUGUUGCUUAUAGGAAAUUACAUUUAGCCAAGAGACAGUUUCAAAAUGAUUUUGUGAUGCUGCUUUAAUUUGAUUUUACCUUUGGUUGUUGUGAAAGCGUUUGGUUGAUGGUGCACUUAAGGGUUCAUUAUUUGGAUAUGGAAACAGUGAAGGAAUACCUAGCGUUCAUCAAUCCUCAUUGGAUAGCGGUGGUCGCUACAGGGAUGUAUACCCAUCUACGUCAAAUUUGCAUAAUUGGUUUGUGUUUUGAUGAAGACACCACUCUUCCUUUUGAUCCAUCUUAUGCCUCGGUGAUUUUUGUAUUUUCUGUCCUCUGUCUUCUUGCUGAGUAUAGACUUUGGCCUAGAACUCUUAAAGAGCCACCGAUUCAACUUCUUUAUAUUUAUGAAAUGUUGGUAGCAGCUUUGAUCACGAACUUAACUACACGUGCUAUUUGGGUGCCACUUAUGCAUGCCAUCAAUUGUUUAACUCAGGAAUCAAGCAGAUGGUUAUUAUGGCUGAAUGCAACACUGGGCCUAAGUCAUUACUCUUUGCUGACUGAUUUUGCUUACUAUAUGGCAAAAGAUUGCGCCGCGAUGCACAUGGCUUUCUGUAUGUCUAUACUGUCAUUCGUCUGGAUGUUGGAUGCCACCGAAUCAUUGGACGCAAUUUUGGACACUAGGGCCAAGUAGUGAACCAGUGAUGUUUAGUUUUAGAACAAAACGGCGGAUUUUGGUCACUUUGCACAUGCAAAAGGAGAAAGAUUAGUUUUGCAAAUCCUGAAGUUACAGAUUGGUUCGUAUAUAAAUUUAUGUGCAGUGCAGACCCUGGGAAUGAAAAUAAGCAAUCAGAUUCAUAAUUCAACUUUCUGGCCACAGUAUUUCUCUUAGAAUUUACAUUGGCUUGCAUCUGGACACCUCUUGAUGUGUUAAUCUCAACCAGGCUACCCACGACUGUUUGUCACUUGCUUCAACAGUUUGGUUCCGAUGAUGCAGUAAUCUCAUUUCUCACAAGCAAAUCUUUGACAGUGAUUAUAACUUACACGGUUGCAAUCACGUUCCUUCUUCUUACACUUCAUGUUACAGAUUCGGUGGAUUAUACAAUUCUUAGGUAUCAUUUCGUUUCAUGUAAUUCCUCUUUAAUGACGAAAGGGUUAAUUACAAUUAAUUUAUUUAGAAUUAAUAUCAAGCACUUUCUCUAGGGAUUGUGGUGCAAUGCCUUUCGCUAUGGAUGUGAAAGAAAGACUAUGGGACAGAUUGCAACGAGAACUUUCAUUUUUGAAUAAAGAAACAAAAACUUGUCGUUGCAAAGUUCGUAGA
Osmia bicornis bicornis is the source of this 1477-nucleotide RNA transcript. RefSeq lists it as uncharacterized. NCBI's taxonomy places the organism in Eukaryota, Metazoa, Arthropoda, Insecta, Hymenoptera, Megachilidae. The transcript is spliced from 7 exons. The record is from RefSeq and is a predicted model, not a curated record.